Molecule: ribosomal RNA, 464 nt
Filed under: Vreelandella stevensii
Lineage: Bacteria; Pseudomonadati; Pseudomonadota; Gammaproteobacteria; Oceanospirillales; Halomonadaceae
Description: partial 16S ribosomal RNA
Rfam family: Bacterial small subunit ribosomal RNA
Source: RNAcentral
CCUACGGGAGGUGCAGUGGGGAAUAUUGGACAAUGGGGGCAACCCUGAUCCAGCCAUGCCGCGUGUGUGAAGAAGGCCCUCGGGUUGUAAAGCACUUUCAGUGAGGAAGAACGCCUGGUGGUUAAUACCCAUCAGGAAAGACAUCACUCACAGAAGAAGCACCGGCUAACUCCGUGCCAGCAGCCGCGGUAAUACGGAGGGUGCGAGCGUUAAUCGGAAUUACUGGGCGUAAAGCGCGCGUAGGUGGCUUGAUAAGCCGGUUGUGAAAGCCCCGGGCUCAACCUGGGAACGGCAUCCGGAACUGUCAAGCUAGAGUGCAGGAGAGGAAGGUAGAAUUCCCGGUGUAGCGGUGAAAUGCGUAGAGAUCGGGAGGAAUACCAGUGGCGAAGGCGGCCUUCUGGACUGACACUGACACUGAGGUGCGAAAGCGUGGGUAGCAAACAGGAUUAGAUACCCUUGUAGUC